RNAcentral lists this ribosomal RNA (442 nucleotides) under uncultured bacterium. Its description in RNAcentral is "partial 16S ribosomal RNA". It matches the Rfam family "Bacterial small subunit ribosomal RNA", at positions 338 to 795 of the family's 1533-position model. The record is from RNAcentral.
CCUACGGGAGGCAGCAGUAGGGAAUCUUUCACAAUGGGCGAAAGCCUGAUGGAGCAACGCCGCGUGCAGGAUGAAGGCCUUCGGGUUGUAAACUGCUUUUAUAAGCGAGAAAUAUGAUGGUAACUUAUGAAUAAGCAUCGGCUAACUACGUGCCAGCAGCCGCGGUCAUACGUAGGAUCCGAGCAUUAUCCGGAGUGACUGGGUGUAAAGAGUUGCGUAGGUGGCAUAAUAAGUAGCUAGUGAAAUCUGGUGGCUCAACCAUUCCGACUAUUAGCUAAACUGUUAAGCUCGAGACCGUUAGGGGUAACUGGAAUUUCUAGUGUAGGAGUGAAAUCCGUAGAUAUUAGAAGGAACACCAAUAGCGUAGGCAGGUUGCUGGGACGGUUCUGACACUAAGGCACGAAAGCGUAGGGAGCAAACGGGAUUAGAUACCCCAGUAGUC